AGGCGGGGCGGGGAACUGAAACAUCUAAGUACCCGUAGGAACAGAAAUCAAUUGAGAUUCCGUCAGUAGCGGCGAGCGAACGCGGAUUAGCCCUUAAGUCUGUGAAAGAUUAGGAGAACGGUCUGGGAAGGCC
RNAcentral lists this ribosomal RNA (133 nucleotides) under Micavibrio sp. RNAcentral describes it as "partial 23S ribosomal RNA". It matches the Rfam family "Bacterial large subunit ribosomal RNA", at positions 178 to 310 of the family's 2925-position model. Lineage: Bacteria; Pseudomonadati; Bdellovibrionota; Bdellovibrionia; Bdellovibrionales; Pseudobdellovibrionaceae. The record is from RNAcentral.